RNAcentral lists this ribosomal RNA (494 nucleotides) under Sphaerulina cercidis. Its description in RNAcentral is "eukaryotic LSU rRNA". The stretch from base 162 to 315 matches the Rfam family "5.8S ribosomal RNA". Lineage: Eukaryota; Fungi; Ascomycota; Dothideomycetes; Mycosphaerellales; Mycosphaerellaceae. The record is from RNAcentral.
GCGGAGGGAUCAUUACUGAGUGAGGGCCUUCGGGCUCGACCUCCAACCCUUUGUGAACACAACUUGUUGCUUCGGGGGCGACCCUGCCGUUUCGACGGCGAGCGCCCCCGGAGGCCUUCAAACACUGCAUCUUUGCGUCGGAGUUUAAGUAAAUUAAACAAAACUUUCAACAACGGAUCUCUUGGUUCUGGCAUCGAUGAAGAACGCAGCGAAAUGCGAUAAGUAAUGUGAAUUGCAGAAUUCAGUGAAUCAUCGAAUCUUUGAACGCACAUUGCGCCCUCUGGUAUUCCGGAGGGCAUGCCUGUUCGAGCGUCAUUUCACCACUCAAGCCUGGCUUGGUAUUGGGCGCCGCGGUGUUCCGCGCGCCUCAAAGUCUCCGGCUGAGCUGUCCGUCUCCAAGCGUUGUGAUUUCAUUAAUCGCUUCGGAGUGCGGGUGGCCGCGGCCGUUAAAUCUUUCACAAGGUUGACCUCGGAUCAGGUAGGGAUACCCGCUG